GAUGAACGCUAGCGACAGGCUUAACACAUGCAAGUCGAGGGGCAGCAUAAGGUAGCAAUACUGAGAUGGCGACCGGCGCACGGGUGAGUAACGCGUAUGCAACCUACCUAUCAGAGGGGAAUAACCCGGCGAAAGUCGGACUAAUACCGCAUAAAACAGGGGUCCCGCAUGGGGAUAUUUGUUAAAGAUUUAUCGCUGCUAGAUGGGCAUGCGUUCCAUUAGAUAGUUGGUGAGGUGACGGCUCACCAAGUCUACGAUGGAUAGGGGUUCUGAGAGGAAGGUCCCCCACAAUGGUACUGCAACACGGACCAGAAUCCUACGGGAGGCAGCAGUGAGGAAUAUUGGUCAAUGGGCGAGAGCCUGAACCAGCCAAGUCGCGUGAAGGAAGAAGGAUCUAUGGUUCGUAAACUUCUUUUACAUGGGAAUAAAGUGUGGUACGUGUACCAUUUUGUAUGUACCAUAUGAAUAAGGAUCGGCUAACUCCGUGCCAGCCGCCGCCGUAAGAC
Molecule: ribosomal RNA, 506 nt
Filed under: uncultured bacterium
Lineage: Bacteria
Description: bacterial SSU rRNA
Rfam family: Bacterial small subunit ribosomal RNA
Source: RNAcentral